GUGCUGGCUUCAGCAACAUGUAUACUAAAAUGGGAAUAUACUAAGAAGAUUAGCAUGGCCCCUGCAGAAGGAUGACAUGCAAAUUCAUGAAACAUUCCAUAUGUUU
Small nuclear RNA from Sorex fumeus (smoky shrew), 106 nucleotides. Lineage: Eukaryota; Metazoa; Chordata; Mammalia; Eulipotyphla; Soricidae. The record is from RefSeq and is a predicted model, not a curated record.